Dermochelys coriacea (leatherback sea turtle) is the source of this 2369-nucleotide long non-coding RNA. RefSeq lists it as uncharacterized. The record is from RefSeq and is a predicted model, not a curated record. The transcript is spliced from 3 exons. NCBI's taxonomy places the organism in Eukaryota, Metazoa, Chordata, Testudines, Dermochelyidae.
CUUUACUAAAGGAUAAUAAUAGGGAGGGCUCCCUUCCCCUACUCCAUUAGUGAGUAAGACCAGAUAGGUUAUACCUUAGUCUGUGGAAGAUACAAACUACCUAGAGUCUAUUUCCUGGAUGAAAAGAUUAGACUAUUUCAGGAGCGGAAGUGACAUCAAUUUCCCAUAUUCCUGUGUGGGUGCUGGUUGUUUGUCCUGUGAGGAGAUGGUGAUUUUUUUUGCUCGUAUCUCAUUCCUGAAGAUAACAAAGGCACUGAAAGCACAGCUGCUACUAGUGUCCCAAAGCCAUCCAGCUCUGUAUGCUGCUAGCCUGUUUACUGCAAUGUUUAUUGCUGUAGUUACUGCUGGCUGACUGUGGGGAAGUGAUCUACUGGGGAGGAAGAAAGAAGGCUGCCAUCCUAGAAACCUUCGGGAAAGGAUUUCAGAGUACCUCCAUGAAUGUUUCACCGAGAUCUCUCCAGAGGAUUCAAGGGACAUCCCUGUGUUCAUAAAUUGUUCCACAUGCCCCCUAAUUCCACCGGAGAAUGAAAAGCAGAUAAUGCUAUUUCUCUUUCUUAUACUGCUACCUCUUCCAGUAUGAGUAAAUUAAUUAAAAGUCAAUAGCUGUGACCUGCUAAGCUGGGGACAGUACAUCAUUUUAAUGGAAAAUACAUUCACAAAAGUACCUGAGAUUCCUUCCCCUGCUUUGGGCUCCCCUGUGCUUGACUGCUAGGACUGACUGGACUGUGGUGGGGUCUCAAACAGGUCCUGGCUUGUGGAAUAGCUGCCCCCCAACCAGUUGCGUGUCCCACUUUCUCCUUCUCCUCCUCUAUAUUCUCCUCAACCUCACUGUUCUCACACACUCACACUGUUCUGUGUCUCAGGCUUCUCAUAAGUAUCCAUGGUGGUGUGGGGGGUAGUAGUUGGGUCUCUCCUAAGUAUGGCAUGCAGGUCUGUGGCUUGGCACUGGAUUGACUGUUGGCCUCCCUGGCCUCUUGGUAUGCCAAAUGCAGUUCCUUCACUUUUGCGUGCACAUUGUUGCUAGUCCCUAUCUUACUCCUUCUCCUGUAUCCCCUGUGUAAUCUGCUUGUAGAUGUCCGCAUUUCUAUGGCUGCUCCAUAGCUGUGCUUGAACAGUCUGUACUCCUCACAGGCCCAGGAGAUCCAAUAUCUCCUGAUUACUCCAAACCGGAGCAUUUAGCCAGUAAGGGCAGUUACAUACAACAAUGGAGAACUGCUAGCUGUGUUCACCAAGCUGGACUAUCAGGGAAAGGCACUCCAAAAAUUUGGGGGGAGCUUCAAAGAGGAAGGGGCCUUUUGGUCUCUGGGACCCUUGGGCAGUGGAGUUUACAAUUGUUACCAGAGCGGUCAGGGUCUGGCAUAGUGGGACAGCUGCUGGAGGACUAUUACAAUCGACAUAAAUAAUGCAGCAUCUUCAUUUGCACUGUGUUAACCUCUGUACAUUGACCAUGGCUCAAUGCCGCUUGGGAAGGUGGUGGUACUGCAUUACUGUAAUGUGCCACUUAAAUCAGUGGGAGAGACAUCUUAAGUGUAGACAGAUGCACCACCAGAUCGACACACAGGCCAUUUAUGUCCAUCUAACUUUGUAAUAUAGACCAGGCCUCAGUGUGUACUCCUCAUAUGUACCAAAUCUCAAGAUGAUGUAUGAUUCCUUAUGAAAUUUAAACAGACCUUGCUUCCUAGGGUUCUUGUAACCACCUUCUCAUUUAAGCUUAAUUAUAUAUUACUGGCUCAUUUUAAAGUGAUACCAUAUUUUUAAAUUAUGCCUCAUCCUUUUGCUAGUGUUGAACAGAAGCAACUAAAUGGGAAAAGCAGACUAUUAAAACAACACUUAAUACUGACAAACUGAUAAAUACCCCACAUGCUAAUCAUUAGAAUUGCUGUUCAGCUAAUAAGCCUUAUCAGUGCUACUUAUGUUUGCAUAUUUGCUUGUUUUAAAUGUGACCUGUCCACUUCUCUUUACCAUUAACUAAAGGCAAGCACCAUAAAUUAGCACAGAAGAGUGUUUUCUUCCAACCUCUCUCUUUAGUUAUACAUUUCUAGGACUGGAUUAUUUUUUAAAAAAAUAACUUAGCAUAAGCCUAACUCUGCUCCGAUUGAAGUCAAUGGGAGUUUUACCCUUCAAUUCAUUGGAAACAGAUCAAAACUAAGUGGUUUUGAAAACAUGCCAACACUUGUCUAUCAUAUACCCAAAUGGGAAAUGCUAAAGCAAGCAAGGCCAUUACAAACAGCACUGGAUUUGGACCAAAAAUAGGCUGGGAGAGGACAAUUAAUUGGGGGUGGUGUCAUACAGUAAAUCUGGUUCAAGUCAAAUACCUCUUGAUAGCUCACACAAUUUUGUGAUCAAUGUCUCAGUCUUCUAUUGUUGCU